AGUGAACGCUGGCGGUAGGCCUAACACAUGCAAGUCGAACGGCAGCACCGUAAGAGCUUGCUCUUACGGGUGGCGAGUGGCGGACGGGUGAGGAAUACAUCGGAAUCUACUUUUUCGUGGGGGAUAACGUAGGGAAACUUACGCUAAUACCGCAUACGACCUACGGGUGAAAGCAGGGGAUCUUCGGACCUUGCGCGAGUGAAUGAGCCGAUGUCGGAUUAGCUAGUUGGCUGGGUAAAGGCCCACCAAGGCGACGAUCCGUAGCGGGUCUGAGAGGAAGAUCCGACACCCUGGAACUGAGACACGGCACAGACUCCGACGGGAGGCAGCAGUGGGGAAUAUUGGACAAUGGGCGAAAGGCUGAUCCAGCAAUACCGCGUGGGUGAAGAAGGACUUCGGGUUGUAAAGCCCUUUUGUUGGGAAAGAAAAGCAGCAGGUUAAUACCCCGCUGUUAUGACGGUACCCAAAGAAUAAGCACCGGCUAACUUCGUG
RNAcentral lists this ribosomal RNA (492 nucleotides) under uncultured bacterium. RNAcentral describes it as "partial 16S ribosomal RNA". It matches the Rfam family "Bacterial small subunit ribosomal RNA", at positions 29 to 507 of the family's 1533-position model. The record is from RNAcentral.